GUGUGUGUGUGUGUGUGUGCGUGUGUGUGGUCAAAAAUACAACAGGGUGGGGGAACUGACAGGCUGUACUAUAGUCAAGGAAGAUGAAAAACUGAAGCAACAACCCAGAACAGCCAGUUUCCACCUGAUGCUGCAUGCUUGAAGUUAUCAGCUCAGAGUUAUACAGACAGGUGCACUGCAGGAUAUCAGGUGAAAUUAAGUCAGCAGUUGGAAGCAGAUCAGUUGCAGCUCAGCCAGCAGGAUGAGAAGAAUCAAAGCAGUCAGUCAAUACCUAAAGCAACUAGUCCUUCAAGUCUUCCAGUCACAGUCACGAGUCACCAUCCCAGCAGCCUCUAAGAAAGAAAACUGUCGACUUAAUGGAGAGAAAUAAGAAAAGCCUUUCCCUGUUUAUUCUGCUGCCUGUGCUGCUGCUCUGCACAAGUGAUGAGUGUCCCAGGCUUCCAGAGAAUCUCACUUGCUACACUGACUACAAUAGAAACAUCACAUGUUUGUGGAACAGCAAUACGUGUCUGAUGACACUGCAUGCACCAUACAUGCUCACUAUAAAUCUCGCUACAUUUCUUACAGCGCUUCCUGUGACCUAAAGUCUGUUGACGUCUCCAGACCAGCGCUAAAGAAGUGCUCCCUGAUCUUUGAAAAGAAAAGCACUGUGAGUGUGUAAA
This is a long non-coding RNA of Haplochromis burtoni (Burton's mouthbrooder), 662 nucleotides long. RefSeq lists it as uncharacterized. NCBI's taxonomy places the organism in Eukaryota, Metazoa, Chordata, Actinopteri, Cichliformes, Cichlidae. The transcript has 5 exons. The record is from RefSeq and is a predicted model, not a curated record.